UACGUAGGGUGCGAGCGUUGUCCGGAAUUAUUGGGCGUAAAGAGCGUGUAGGCGGUUUGGUAGGUCCGCUGUGAAACUCGAGCUCAACCUCGAGACGCCGGUGGAAACCAUCAGACUAGAGUCCGGAAGAGGAGAGUGGAAUUCCUUGGUGUAGCGGUGAAAUGCGCAGAUAUCAGGAAGAACACCCGUGGCUAAGGCGGCUCUCUAGUACGGUAC
This 216-nucleotide ribosomal RNA is filed under the name uncultured bacterium. Its description in RNAcentral is "partial 16S ribosomal RNA". It matches the Rfam family "Bacterial small subunit ribosomal RNA", at positions 524 to 740 of the family's 1533-position model. The record is from RNAcentral.